This 385-nucleotide ribosomal RNA is filed under the name uncultured bacterium. RNAcentral describes it as "bacterial SSU rRNA". It matches the Rfam family "Bacterial small subunit ribosomal RNA", at positions 28 to 414 of the family's 1533-position model. The record is from RNAcentral.
GACGAACGCUGGCGGCGUGCUUAACACAUGCAAGUCGAGCGGUAAGGCCCUUUCGGGGGUACACGAGCGGCGAACGGGUGAGUAACACGUGGGUGACCUGCCCUUAGCUCUGGGAUAAGCCUGGGAAACUGGGUCUAAUACCGGAUAUGACUCCAUGACGCAUGUUGUGGGGUGGAAAGCCUUGUGCGGCUAGGGAUGGGCCCGCGGCCUAUCAGCUUGUUGGUGGGGUGAUGGCCUACCAAGGCGACGACGGGUAGCCGGCCUGAGAGGGCGACCGGCCACACUGGGACUGAGACACGGCCCAGACUCCUACGGGAGGCAGCAGUGGGGAAUCUUGCGCAAUGGUCGAAGCCUGACGCAGCGACGCCGCGUGAGGGAGUGACGG